GCGGAUGUGGUGGAAUUGGUAGACACGCUAGAUUUAGGUUCUAGUGCCCUUGGCGUGGGAGUUCGAGUCUCCCCAUCCGCA
This 81-nucleotide transfer RNA is filed under the name Terasakiispira papahanaumokuakeensis. Its description in RNAcentral is "Halomonadaceae bacterium PH27A tRNA". It matches the Rfam family "tRNA". From Rfam's summary of the family: Transfer RNA (tRNA) molecules are approximately 80 nucleotides in length. Their secondary structure includes four short double-helical elements and three loops (D, anti-codon, and T loops). Further hydrogen bonds mediate the characteristic L-shaped molecular structure. tRNAs have two regions of fundamental functional importance: the anti-codon, which is responsible for specific mRNA codon recognition, and the 3' end, to which the tRNAs corresponding amino acid is attached (by aminoacyl-tRNA synthetases). tRNAs cope with the degeneracy of the genetic code in two manners: having more than one tRNA (with a specific anti-codon) for a particular amino acid; and 'wobble' base-pairing, i.e. permitting non-standard base-pairing at the 3rd anti-codon position. The record is from Rfam by way of RNAcentral. Lineage: Bacteria; Pseudomonadati; Pseudomonadota; Gammaproteobacteria; Oceanospirillales.